RNAcentral lists this ribosomal RNA (1218 nucleotides) under Escherichia coli. Its description in RNAcentral is "partial 23S ribosomal RNA". It matches the Rfam family "Bacterial large subunit ribosomal RNA", at positions 1 to 1251 of the family's 2925-position model. The record is from RNAcentral. Lineage: Bacteria; Pseudomonadati; Pseudomonadota; Gammaproteobacteria; Enterobacterales; Enterobacteriaceae.
GGGUUGUGAGGUUAAGCGACUAAGCGUACACGGUGGAUGCCCUGGCAGUCAGAGGCGAUGAAGGACGUGCUAAUCUGCGAUAAGCGUCGGUGAGGUGAUAUGAACCGUUAUAACCGGCGAUUUCCGAAUGGGGAAACCCAGUGUGUUUCGACACACUAUCAUUAACUGAAUCCAUAGGUUAAUGAGGCGAACCGGGGGAACUGAAACAUCUAAGUACCCCGAGGAAAAGAAAUCAACCGAGAUUCCCCCAGUAGCGGCGAGCGAACGGGGAGGAGCCCAGAGCCUGAAUCAGUGUGUGUGUUAGUGGAAGCGUCUGGAAAGGCGCGCGAUACAGGGUGACAGCCCCGUACACAAAAAUGCACAUACUGUGAGCUCGAUGAGUAGGGCGGGACACGUGGUAUCCUGUCUGAAUAUGGGGGGACCAUCCUCCAAGGCUAAAUACUCCUGACUGACCGAUAGUGAACCAGUACCGUGAGGGAAAGGCGAAAAGAACCCCGGCGAGGGGAGUGAAAAAGAACCUGAAACCGUGUACGUACAAGCAGUGGGAGCCUCUUAAUGGGGUGACUGCGUACCUUUUGUAUAAUGGGUCAGCGACUUAUAUUCUGUAGCAAGGUUAACCGAAUAGGGGAGCCGAAGGGAAACCGAGUCUUAACUGGGCGUUAAGUUGCAGGGUAUAGACCCGAAACCCGGUGAUCUAGCCAUGGGCAGGUUGAAGGUUGGGUAACACUAACUGGAGGACCGAACCGACUAAUGUUGAAAAAUUAGCGGAUGACUUGUGGCUGGGGGUGAAAGGCCAAUCAAACCGGGAGAUAGCUGGUUCUCCCCGAAAGCUAUUUAGGUAGCGCCUCGUGAAUUCAUCUCCGGGGGUAGAGCACUGUUUCGGCAAGGGGGUCAUCCCGACUUACCAACCCGAUGCAAACUGCGAAUACCGGAGAAUGUUAUCACGGGAGACACACGGCGGGUGCUAACGUCCGUCGUGAAGAGGGAAACAACCCAGACCGCCAGCUAAGGUCCCAAAGUCAUGGUUAAGUGGGAAACGAUGUGGGAAGGCCCAGACAGCCAGGAUGUUGGCUUAGAAGCAGCCAUCAUUUAAAGAAAGCGUAAUAGCUCACUGGUCGAGUCGGCCUGCGCGGAAGAUGUAACGGGGCUAAACCAUGCACCGAAGCUGCGGCAGCGACGCUUAUGCGUUGUUGGGUAGGGGAGCGUUCUGUAAGCCUG